Molecule: ribosomal RNA, 601 nt
Filed under: uncultured bacterium
Lineage: Bacteria
Description: bacterial SSU rRNA
Rfam family: Bacterial small subunit ribosomal RNA
Source: RNAcentral
UUAAGGCAACCAUGCCAUGCCUGAUGCAUGCAUGCCGCGUGAGUGAAAGAACGCCUUCGGGUUGUAAAGCACUUUCAGAUGUGAGGAAAGGAUAGUAUGUUAUACAUGCUAGCUGUGACUUUAACAACAGAGGAAGCACCGUAUAACUCCGGGCCGGCAGGCGCGGUAAUACGGAGGGUGCGAGCGUUAAUCGGAAUUACUGGGCGUAAAGCGCACGCAGGCGGUCUGUUAAGCUAGAUGUGAAAGCCCCGCGCUCAACGUGGGAGGGUCAUUUAGAACUGGCAGACUAGAGUCUUGGAGAGGGGAGUGGAAUUCCAGGUGUAGCGGUGAAAUGCGUAGAGAUCUGGAGGAACAUCAAUGGCGAAGGCAACUCCCUGGCCAAAGACUGACGCUCAUGUGCGAAAGUGUGGGUAGCGAACAGGAUUAGAUACCCUGGUAGUCCACACCGUAAACGCUGUCUACUAGCUGUUUGUGGAUUUAAUCCGCGAGUAGCGAAGCUAACGCCAUAAGUAGACCGCCUGGGGAGUACGGCCGCAAGGUUAAAACUCAAAUGAAUUGACGGGGCCCCAAAAACCGUUGAACAUGUGGUUUAAUUCUCCAC